This 512-nucleotide ribosomal RNA is filed under the name uncultured bacterium. RNAcentral's name for it is "partial 16S ribosomal RNA". It matches the Rfam family "Bacterial small subunit ribosomal RNA", at positions 28 to 507 of the family's 1533-position model. The record is from RNAcentral.
GAUGAACGCUGGCGGCGUGCCUAAUACAUGCAAGUCGAACGAAACUUCUUUAUCACCGAGUGCUUGCACUCACCGAUAAAGAGUUGAGUGGCGAACGGGUGAGUAACACGUGGGCAACCUGCCCAAAAGAGGGGGAUAACACUUGGAAACAGGUGCUAAUACCGCAUAACCAUAGUUACCGCAUGGUAACUAUGUAAAAGGUGGCUAUACUACCGCUUUUGGAUGGGCCCGCGGCGCAUUAGCUAGUUGGUAGGGUAAAGGCUUAUCAAGGCAAUGAUGCGUAGCCGAAUUGAGAGGUUGAUCGGCCACAUUGGGACUGAGACACGGCCCAAACUCCUACGGGAGGCAGCAGUAGGGAAUCUUCCACAAUGGGCGAAAGCCUGAUGGAGCAACGCCGCGUGGGUGAAGAAGGUCUUCGGAUCGUAAAACCCUGUUGUUAGAGAAGAAAGUGCGUGAGAGUAACUGUUCACGUUUCGACGGUAUCUAACCAGAAAGCCACGGCUAACUACGUG